RNAcentral lists this transfer RNA (65 nucleotides) under Termes group sp. F TB-2017. RNAcentral's name for it is "tRNA-His". Lineage: Eukaryota; Metazoa; Arthropoda; Insecta; Blattodea; Termitidae. The record is from RNAcentral.
AUCUAAAUAGUUUAAGUAGAAAAUGUUGGUUUGUGGUGCCAGUGAUAUAGUAUGUAUUUUAGAUU